UGGGGAAUAUUGCACAAUGGGCGCAAGCCUGAUGCAGCCAUGCCGCGUGUAUGAAGAAGGCCUUCGGGUUGUAAAGUACUUUCAGCGGGGAGGAAGGGAGUAAAGUUAAUACCUUUGCUCAUUGACGUUACCCGCAGAAGAAGCACCGGCUAACUCCGUGCCAGCAGCCGCGGUAAUACGGAGGGUGCAAGCGUUAAUCGGAAUUACUGGGCGUAAAGCGCACGCAGGCGGUUUGUUAAGUCAGAUGUGAAAUCCUCGGGCUCAACCUGGGAACUGCAUCUGAUACUGGCAAGCUUUAGUCUCGUAGAGGGGGGUAGAAUUCCAGGUGUAGCGGUGAAAUGCGUAGAGAUCUGGAGGAAUACCGGUGGCGAAGGCGGCCCCCUGGACGAAGACUGACGCUCAGGUGCGAAAGCGUGGGGAGCAAACAGG
Molecule: ribosomal RNA, 429 nt
Filed under: Chloroflexota bacterium
Lineage: Bacteria; Bacillati; Chloroflexota
Description: Chloroflexi bacterium partial 16S ribosomal RNA
Rfam family: Bacterial small subunit ribosomal RNA
Source: RNAcentral